UACGAAGGGGGCUAGCGUUGUUCGGAAUCACUGGGCGUAAAGCGCACGUAGGCGGAUCGAUAAGUCAGGGGUGAAAUCCCGAGGCUCAACCUCGGAACUGCCUUUGAUACUGUCGAUCUUGAGUCCGGGAGAGGUGAGUGGAACUCCGAGUGUAGAGGUGAAAUUCGUAGAUAUUCGGAAGAACACCAGUGGCGAAGGCGGCUCACUGGCCCGGUACUGACGCUGAGGUGCGAAAGCGUGGGGAG
This 245-nucleotide ribosomal RNA is filed under the name uncultured Hyphomicrobiales bacterium. RNAcentral's name for it is "uncultured Rhizobiales bacterium partial 16S ribosomal RNA". It matches the Rfam family "Bacterial small subunit ribosomal RNA", at positions 524 to 768 of the family's 1533-position model. Lineage: Bacteria; Pseudomonadati; Pseudomonadota; Alphaproteobacteria; Hyphomicrobiales. The record is from RNAcentral.